RNA transcript from Helianthus annuus (common sunflower), 2589 nucleotides. It is a transcript of the gene named inter-alpha-trypsin inhibitor heavy chain H5-like, with no coding region annotated. The transcript has 13 exons. The record is from RefSeq and is a predicted model, not a curated record. Lineage: Eukaryota; Viridiplantae; Streptophyta; Magnoliopsida; Asterales; Asteraceae.
CCUUUUUAUUUUAUUGUUUUCUCUUUCCAUUUGUCACACAAACUCCCUCACUAUCUCACUAUCUCAUCUUCCGGCGAAAUUCCGACUACAAAAUGUCAACCGCCGACGAGUUUUCACGAUCAGUCGAUAUGGGUCUCAGGCUCUCCAAACGUAUAUACUACGGCAAAGACGGACCUGCCACGUCAGCUCCAAAACCACCAUCAAUGGAGAAAUCAUUAUCAUCAUCUUCCUCAGCUUCAUCACUCCGGUUACCGUAUAAUCAUCAUCCAACGGCACCGAUGGUAUACGCCGUUAUAACGGAGCCCGGUGUUGUGGAUAACCCGGAUAUCCGGAGCUACCAACCGUAUGUUUAUGGACGGUGUAAUCCACCGGCGUUGAUUCCGUUGCAUAUGAUCGGAGUCGUGUUGAAGGUGGAGUGUUAUUUGGAUACCGCGGUUGUUACGGUUGACGGCGUUUGGCGCGUUCAUUGCUUAACGUCAAGUGCAUUAUGUGAUUGUCGCGUUGUGGUUCCGAUGGGUGAGCAGGGUUCACUUCUAGGUGUUGAGGUUGAGACCACUAGAAGAUCAUAUUUUACGCGGUUGAUAACAUCUGAAGACCAACAAGACAUGAAUGGCCAAGAAACCACAAAAGAUGGCUUCUUAAUGAAAGGCAAUACAUACACUUUUCAAGUCUUUCAGGUUGAAGGAGGAUCUAAUAUCCAUGUUAAAGCAAGAUGGGCACAGAAAAUGUCGUAUCAAGGCGAUGGUUUUUGUUUGUGCGUGCCGUUCACUUAUCCUGUUCACGUAUUUCCUGUGUCGAAGAAAGUAUCGUGUACAGAAAAAAUACUUCUAGAUGUGAAUUCUGGUACAUAUGGCGCGAUUACAUGCAACAUUGCUAGCCAUCCUUUAAAGGAAGUAAAACGACGAGCUGGGCAAUUAAGCUUCUCGUAUGAGGCUGAGGUUCUCAAGUGGUCUACUCAAGAUUUCUAUUUUUCUUAUUCGGUAUGCGCAAAUGAGAUAUUCGGUGGUUUGCUCGUGCAACCUCCAUCUCUAAAUGAUUAUGAUCAGAGAGAUAUGUUUUGCUUUUAUCUUUUUCCAGGGGUUAACCAAAGCAUGAAGGCUUUUAAAAAGGAAGUUGUGUUUAUAAUCGACAUUAGUGGCAGCAUGAGAGACGAGCCGCUUGAGAAAACAAAAUAUGAAGUCGUAGGAUCUCUUUGGAAGCUAAACCAAGGAGAUAUGUUCAACAUUUUAGCUUCGAAUGGUGAAAUUAAGUCGUUUUCUUCUUCGUUGGAGUUUGCGACAGAAGAAACGGUUACUAAUGCAACUGAAUGGAUGAACGCAAAUCUUAUUGCUCAUGGAGGCACCAACCUCAUGCUUCCUUUAAAACAGGCAGUUGACAUGGUUGGUAAAGCCAGUGAUUCCAUUCCUCUCGUUUUUCUCAUAACCGACGGGGCUGUUGAAGACGAAAGAGAUAUAUGUAAUACGAUGAAAUGUCGCAUUGGGAACGGACAGUUAAAUUCUCCUAGAAUUCACACAUUUGGCAUAGGUUCAUAUUGCAAUCAUUAUUUCUUGCAAAUGCUUGCAAAUAUAGGAAGGGGAUACUUUGAUUCUGCACUGGAUGUAGAUUCAAUCAGCAUCCGUAUGCAAAAACUGUUUGAUAAUGCCACAGCACCUUUGCUUUCAAAUGUAACCCUUGAUGCUUUACAAAAUCUCGAGUCACACGAGAUAUUCCCGUUUCGUCUUCCAGACUUAUUAUCUGGAAGACCGUUAAUCGUGUCAGGCAGAUUCAAAGGGGAAUUUCCUGACAUUGUUAAAGCUAGAGGUUUGUUGGCGGAUUUUAACACACGUGUGAUUGAUGUCAAAGUAAUGAAGGCGAAUGACAUGCCUUUAGAAAUGGGAUGAAAAUGGCACCUUAGGGACGAAAGUCGCAAAAAGUGAUCAAACCUCAGGGACGAAAAUGACAUUUUACUCUUUGGAAGACGAUCCAUAUGUCUAAACCACAUGCCUUACAAUAUGUCAAAACACAUGCCAAAAUCAAAGGAAUAAAUGAGAGAGGAAAUGGUAUGCGCGAGGAGGGAAAUUGCUACACUCACUGCACAAGCAUGGUUAGACCAAAACACAGAACUAGAGCAAAAGGUUGCAAAAAUGAGCUUACAAAGAGGGAUUCCUUCUGAAUAUACGCUCAUGAUUCUAGUUCAACAUGAGAACGUAAAACCAGCCAUCGAAUCCGUUUCACCAGAAGAGAAGUAUACGAAGUCGAAGAAUCAGAAGAUAACAUACAUGACGAAUCUAAACGUUGGAUUUGGAAAUUUAAUCGCAACGAUUGAGAAUUUACCUCCGGGAAUCCAAGAAUUGAAAUUAAGCGAGCCAGGAACAAUGAUGAAGGCGGCUUCAUCUUGCUGGACGAUGUUUGUCGAUCGAUUUUGUUGCAGGUGUUUUAUUCAAACAUGCGCUCACAUGAAUGACCAAUGCGCGGUUGUUUUGACGCAACUAUGCGCUGCCCUUGCUUGCUUUCAAUGCCUGAGCUGCUGCUGUGACAUGUGUGAUUCAUGUGCAGAAUUGUGCUUAGAUUGCCUUUAAAGUUUUAUAAAAAUAUAACAUAUUUAUGCAA